UGAGAACUGGGGACAGGGUGACGUCGUGAGCAGAGUAGAGAGCAAAGAGCUCCUCCCUCCUGCCCUCGGCAGCGCGCUGCAUGCGGCCCACAGUUUGGUUCAGGAUGGGGUGGGCACCCAGGAGCGCGUACCCAAGGGGAAGCUGACGUUGUGGCAGAAGUGGCAGAGCAUGGAAUCUAUGGGGUUGGCAGCGCGGAGCUGCUUGGUGGGGAUGUCCACGAUCCUGGCCAUCUCCCCGUAGGUCUUCUCCAGCUGGCUGUUCUUCAGACGUAAGAGGUACUGCCGCCGCUGCUCCUUUUCCAGGAGCACAUCAUUCCUCAGUGUGCCCAGAAACUCACAGAAAUCAGUCAGGCAAGGAGAACAAGUCACUUGCUGGCUGCCUAGUCCCCUCGCUGUGGGACCCCAUCCUCCCCGCUCUGCCAGCUGAAGGCUCUCUGCUCACCUUCUGGGUACAUUCUGCCCAAUCCUGCUGGGGCUUUACCUGCUCAUCAGCAAGGAUACUCUCUUGGUAGGGAUAUGGAAUGACCUCCCAGAUAGAAUAUUUGAAAAAAGAAAAAUAAACUGCAGAACAAUAUGUUUAUUAUGCUUUUAAAUAAAAAUGAGGGAAAAAUAUGAAUGUGUAUUGGCAGCCACCUGUGUUUUGUAUAAAGAAACUUUGGAAGGAUGCACAAUGGUUACCUGGGGAUGAUGGGGGCACAGAAAUGGGGGGGAUGGACCAUGAAUUUUAAAUUUUAAGUUUACCUUUUAGUUGUUAUAGUUUUGAACUAUGCACCACAGUAUAGUAUUUUUUUUCCCCGGCAUGCCCGUGGCAUGCAGAAGUUCCCGGGCCAGGGAUCCAACUCAAGCCACAGCAUCGACCCAAGCCACAGAGGUGACAAUGCCAAGUUCUUUAACCACUAGGCCACCAGGGAACUCCCACAGUAUAAUAUCUUGAAAAAAAAAGCAAACUGAAAAAGCCUUCUUUUCAUGUAGGAGAGGGCAAUUCAAGAUAAAAGCAAGUAUAUCCUCUAGCCAACAGGAUGUUGGGAUGCCAUUUCAGUGAGAUAUCUGCAUUCUCUGAGAGUGUAAAUCAUAGGUAGGCCCUGUAACAGUAAUGCCACUAUUCAGAUGCCCAAAUGGUUUGAAAAGCCCCACUACAAAGAUGAGACAAUUUCAGGCUGAAAUGAGUAAAACAGAGGGACUGGUGUUGGCCCAGGAAGAGAAAUAGCUCAGCUAAAAAAUGUGAAGGAUGUCUAGGUCCUCCUCUGAAUGAGGAGUAUUGAGAGUGGAUUCCCUCAGAGAUCUGGGCUGAGGCAGGUCUCAGCAUUUCUAAAUGACCUGCAAAGAGGGCCAACCAUGAGUGACAAACAUCCAGAGUCAGUGUCUGGUCCCCAUUCCUCUCUUGGCCUCCCCUGUAUUCUGAGGCUACAUUUCUUAAGGUUGGCAUGCUCACUGUGUGCCAGACUGUUUUCCUUUAAUCCUAAAAAAAACCCAGCAAAGAAUGCAUAUUAUUUUAUCCCCCUUUCCCUUACUUUAUAGAUGAGAAAACUGAGGCCCAAGCCAUUCACAGUUAAGAAGUGGCCAAGCUAGCACUCCAGCCCCUGUCUGGCCCCAACCUAUGCUCUUAGCCCUGCUCACACCUACAGGGUCCUACAGAAAUACUGAGGUCUACCCACUCAGGGCUUCUCCUCUCCAAACACAGCCUGGAUCUUCAUGACUCUGUUCACGCCCCUCCCUUUCUCUGCCCAGUGAAAUCCUCACGCAACAACCAGCUCCAGCACUACCCUCUCUUUCCUCCUUCUCGCCCACAUCGAAUUAAUCAUUCCUUUCUGUUCACAUAGGCUGCUGGACCUCUAAGGCACUGGCUUCAUCGUUGAGCCUAGUCUAUGCUAGCUCUGUGCAAGGUGCUCUCACACGACUCACCACUAGCUCCGGGGAGACGUCAUGAGCCCCAUUUCACAGGUCUGUCUAUGCCAAAGCCUAUGUUUAUUUUGAAAGAGCUUACAGCUUGCAGCAGUACCCUCAGGGGUCUCCAUGCGCUGUCCCACUGCAGCUGCAGGCUUCCCUAGGACAGGCAGGGGAGCGCCUCAGUCAUCCAACCACCCUCCUCACCUACACACAGUAGCUGCCAAAGCAUCGGGGGCAGAGUAGGCACUAAUGAUCAAUCGCAUCUUAAACAGUUCCUGUGGGGUGCCCAAAGUGUGCCAGUUAUAUGUGUGAUUAUUCUAAUGGUGAUGCAGAAGUUCAUAUAGAAGACAAAAAAGUGACCAUUAAACAAAAAAAGUGACCAUUACCCAUUCAGAAUGGAUAAACAACAAGGUCCUAGUGUAUAGCACAGGGAUAGACCAUGAUGGAAAAGAAUA
This is a non-coding RNA of Sus scrofa (pig), 2342 nucleotides long. NCBI's taxonomy places the organism in Eukaryota, Metazoa, Chordata, Mammalia, Artiodactyla, Suidae. The record is from RefSeq and is a predicted model, not a curated record.